Molecule: ribosomal RNA, 460 nt
Filed under: uncultured bacterium
Lineage: Bacteria
Description: partial 16S ribosomal RNA
Rfam family: Bacterial small subunit ribosomal RNA
Source: RNAcentral
CCUACGGGUGGCAGCAGUGAGGAAUAUUGGUCAAUGGCCGGAAGGCUGAACCAGCCAUGCCGCGUGAAGGUCAGUGCCCUAUGGGCGUUAAACUUCUUUUGUGCGGGAGCAAUAAUGGUCACGUGUGGCCAGACGAGAGUACCGUACGAAUAAGCCUCGGCUAACUCCGUGCCAGCAGCAGCGGUACUAAGGGGGAUGCAAGCGUUAUCCGGAUUUAUGGGGUUGAAAGGGUGCGUAGGCUGUGAGGUAAGUCAGCGGGGAAAUGCCCCCGCUCAACGGGGUGAAGUGCCAUUGAUACUGCAUGGCUGGAAUGCGGAUGCCGUGAGAGGAAUGUGUGGUGUAGCGGUGAAAUGCAUAGAUAUCACACAGAACACCGAUUGCGAAGGCAUCUCACGAAUCCGCGAUUGACGCUGAUGCACGAAAGCGUGGGUAUCAAACAGGAUUAGAUACCCCUGUAGUC